AUCAGUUUGACUAAACAAAACUAUAUUAAUAAAUUGGAACCUUUCUUAAUUAGAACCAUAAUUAGUUAAGGCUUUGACUUUAAGCACAAUUGAAAAAUCAAGAUUAAAUGCAGAAGCAUACAAUACAUAUUGCUAACCUAAUUUGUGUGUCAGGGACACAGGAGUUGAGCUGGGAAAUUCAAGUGGGCAGAUGAAAAAUCUCUAUUGCACUUAGUGCAUGUGAAAAGCUAAUGCACCAAGUGCAAUUAAGGAAAUUCCGAGAAUCACAAUUAAACAGAAACAGAGCAGCAUCUAUUGCACUUUGAAUGUAAACGACCGCUAGGCAGGGCAAAGGAACAAGAAGAAGCAGGGGCCAAUGGAAUGUAAACAAAAACCGCAAUCAAACAGAUACAAUGCACGCACACACAUGCGGCUGCAUGAGCGUGGGUGAAGUGCAUAUGUGUAUGUGUAUGUGUAUAAGCAGGCUCGCAACGUUAAAUGCAUGCAAUUUAAUAUUUUUAGUGCUUUCGCCUGUCUAAUUCCAGUGAUGAACUCAUUGUGUGCAAAAAAAACUAGGAACAAACCAUUGAAAUUGGAUGUUGAUGCAUCUACAACGGGGGCAGCCACUGCGCCAUCAGCGUCCGCCUCAAUUUUCGUGUGAGCUCCUUGCAAGAAUAACAA
Drosophila nasuta is the source of this 660-nucleotide long non-coding RNA. RefSeq lists it as uncharacterized. NCBI's taxonomy places the organism in Eukaryota, Metazoa, Arthropoda, Insecta, Diptera, Drosophilidae. The record is from RefSeq and is a predicted model, not a curated record. The transcript is spliced from 2 exons.